AGUGAACGCUGGCGGUAGGCCUAACACAUGCAAGUCGAACGGCAGCACAGUAAGAGCUUGCUCUUACGGGUGGCGAGUGGCGGACGGGUGAGGAAUACAUCGGAAUCUACUUUUCGUGGGGGAUAACGUAGGGAAACUUACGCUAAUACCGCAUACGACCUACGGGUGAAAGCAGGGGAUCUUCGGACCUUGCGCGAUUGAAUGAGCCGAUGUCGGAUUAGCUAGUUGGCGGGGUAAAGGCCCACCAAGGCGACGAUCCGUAGCUGGUCUGAGAGGAUGAUCAGCCACACUGGAACUGAGACACGGUCCAGACUCCUACGGGAGGCAGCAGUGGGGAAUAUUGGGCAAUGGGCGCAAGCCUGAUCCAGCCAUACCGCGUGGGUGAAGAAGGCCUUCGGGUUGUAAAGCCCUUUUGUUGGGAAAGAAAAGCAGCAGGUUAAUACCCCGCUGUUCUGACGGUACCCAAAGAAUAAGCACCGGCUAACUUCGUG
RNAcentral lists this ribosomal RNA (491 nucleotides) under uncultured bacterium. RNAcentral describes it as "partial 16S ribosomal RNA". It matches the Rfam family "Bacterial small subunit ribosomal RNA", at positions 29 to 507 of the family's 1533-position model. The record is from RNAcentral.